RNAcentral lists this ribosomal RNA (496 nucleotides) under uncultured bacterium. RNAcentral describes it as "partial 16S ribosomal RNA". It matches the Rfam family "Bacterial small subunit ribosomal RNA", at positions 28 to 506 of the family's 1533-position model. The record is from RNAcentral.
GAUGAACGCUGGCGGCGUGCCUAAUACAUGCAAGUCGAGCGAACAGACGAGGAGCUUGCUCCUCUGACGUUAGCGGCGGACGGGUGAGUAACACGUGGAUAACCUACCUAUAAGACUGGGAUAACUUCGGGAAACCGGAGCUAAUACCGGAUAAUAUAUUGAACCGCAUGGUUCAAUAGUGAAAGACGGUUUUGCUGUCACUUAUAGAUGGAUCCGCGCCGCAUUAGCUAGUUGGUAAGGUAACGGCUUACCAAGGCAACGAUGCGUAGCCGACCUGAGAGGGUGAUCGGCCACACUGGAGCUGAGACACGGGCCAGACUCCUACGGGAGGCAGCAGUAGGGAAUCUUCCGCAAUGGGCGAAAGCCUGACGGAGCAACGCCGCGUGAGUGAUGAAGGUCUUCGGAUCGUAAAACUCUGUUAUUAGGGAAGAACAAAUGUGUAAGUAACUAUGCACGUCUUGACGGUACCUAAUCAGAAAGCCACGGCUAACUACGU